This is a long non-coding RNA of Pipra filicauda (Wire-tailed manakin), 637 nucleotides long. RefSeq lists it as uncharacterized. NCBI's taxonomy places the organism in Eukaryota, Metazoa, Chordata, Aves, Passeriformes, Pipridae. The record is from RefSeq and is a predicted model, not a curated record. The transcript is spliced from 2 exons.
AGAGCUGUGCCCGUGUUCCAUGUGGAACUGCCAGGGCCCGGCGACGAGCACAACGCAGCCAUUCCCCUGCUGCCAGCCAGCCCUGAGCAGCUCCCAGCGCACCCUCUGGCCCGACCACCUUUGGUUCCAAGAGUACCCUUCCCCCUGCUCCCUCUGGACUGUCCCCACCUGCUCCCUUGAACAUCCGUCAGUGCUGACUCUGCCUGCAGUCUGGGUGUUGUGAUCCAUGCCAGCAGGAUGUGCAGCCUUGUCCCAGUGAAUGUCCAGUGCCAGUCCAUGGAGGAGGGCACCAACUGACUGGCCAGGUGGGCUGGAGCUCAGUGGGGCUGGGGUGGGACAGGCCCCCUCUGUGAGGUUGUUCUCCCUGCUGCAGGCUGAGAGAGACAGCGAAGAGCCAACGGAAGUGGACACGGCGAGAGAUCUAAAAGGCGAUGUAGAGGAGAUGGAGGUGGACACGCAAGAGGAAGAAGAGAUGGACGUGGAAGAGGACGGCGAGAAGGAGGAGGCCAUGAUCCUGGGAUAAGGACACCCCGCCUCAGCAGCAGGACUGACGGACGUGCCGGCCACGGAAUCGGCCACUUGUACAUAUGUUUUACAUGUUGUUCUGUAAAUACAUUUUAUAUUAUUGAAUUUUUAA